Bactrocera oleae (olive fruit fly) is the source of this 9228-nucleotide non-coding RNA. The record is from RefSeq and is a predicted model, not a curated record. NCBI's taxonomy places the organism in Eukaryota, Metazoa, Arthropoda, Insecta, Diptera, Tephritidae.
AAAAAAUAGAUAACCUUUUUAUUAAAAAAAUUGCCUUGAAAAGUAUGCAGUAAAUAUGAUGGAAUAUACUUUUUACUCUUUUCAUAAUAUUGCUUCUGGUUAACAAUACUCGCCAAGGUCGUUUGGAAUAUUUACUACUUGCCUACAGAAAUCCACCUGCAUAUUUAUUUUUACUUUUUGUGACCAAAUAGCGCAAUAUUGUGUAUCAACAUUAAUGAUCGGAAAUGGGCAUCAAAAAGCAAAGUGACAGCUGUGAUAUUUAAGUUGGCAGGAGGAAGAAUGUGUAUAUGCAAAAGCGUACCAAAAGCAGCAGCAGCAUCUCAUCAUCGUCGGGCAGCAAAGAUGGCCAAGGGUCCGGCUGGUCGGAGUGGUCGACCUGUUCACGUACCUGCAAUGGCGGAGCAGCAAGACUUUUGUGAGCAUCAGUGUGCCGCCUACAAUGACGUGCCCUACGAUGGUACACUCUACACGUGGACGCCGCUCUACGACUAUGUGGAGCCGUGUGCGUUGACAUGCAGGGGCCGUUCAGCACAUUUAUAUUUGAGCGUCAGCGCAUCAUCCGAAGGUGUUGAGGAUCCCGAACGCUAUGAUGAUCAUGUGAUCGUGCAACUGUCGGUAGGCGUACAACAUGGCACACGUUGUCGAACGGGUUGCCUCGAAAUGUGCAUACUAUUCUAAUCUAUUGGAAAAACUAAAAUUUCCAACUAACACGUUGGAUAACGCAAAGUUAUUAAAUUAGCGCUGAGUGCAAAAUUAUGGUAGUUUUAAUGAAAAUUCACUUCCGCUAUCAAGUGAAGUAAAAACUGUUUGAGUAAUUUUAAAAACGCAAUGAGAUUAUCUUUUAUUACUUAUCUAACUAAAGUUAUUAACAUCGACAACAUUCACGGUAGCGGCACCGAAAAUCACGCGAUGUCGUGUAAUUUAUAAUGUCGAGCCGUGUUCUUUCUGUUAUAUAAUACCACUAUUUAUUUUUAUAUUGCUGACAUUUGGAUUAUUUUCAAUAUUUUUCUGCUGCCAAUAACAAAGCUACAAAAUUUUCUAAAAUUAAAGAUUUUCUGCAAUUAUCGAACAACAAAGAUACAAGUUUAUUGACACUAAAUCUGAGUUAUAUGCUAACUCGUUAUGAUACUUUCGUUGAAAUGAUUUUAUUGUUAGUGAUUUCUGAAUUUUUAUUGCUAUUAUUCUUUUCAGUCUAUCUUUAUUGUUAUUGUUGGUUUUAUUUGCCGGUUUGUUCUAUUUUUACUACUUUUUUUAUAUUUUUCUACACACAUUUCUACAUUUUCGUAUGUGAAUCGUAAACUUACUCACACUCCACCGAACUUGUAAGGAUGACUAGUCCGGGCAUACAAACAGACACAAAGGAGGCUAGCAAUGCUCAUAGUUUAAAUAUAUUUUUCAUAUUUUGCAUUGUUGUAAACAAUUUGUUGUUCGUAUGAGUUCGUAGGCACACAAAUAAAUCAUUCGUUAGCGCAAAAACCCAACUCCACUAAUGUAGUUCUCUCUGGCAGUCAACAUUGCAUAAAAUACCAUAUACACACCUACUUGUACAUACUCGUUUUUCCAUACAUAUUGUAUGUAUGUUCUCUCCAACAAAUGUAAUGUGUAUGUGUGGUUCUGUGCUUUUGGAGUGUCUUUCGAAUGGCAAUAAAGUACUUUUUUGUGGUUUUUGAUCACAUUUGUGUUUACUGUUACAUAUCUCUUCGCGCAUUGUUGCUCGUAAACGAAAUAGGAAAUGUAAAUAAUAAAAUAUAAAAUAAUAUUUUUUUAUUAUUUUUAUAAGAGGGAAACUUUUUAAUUUACAACUUCAGUAAAAAACUCACGAAGUAAUGUGGCACCUUUCAACUUUGUUUAAUUGAAGAGUGUUUAUUAGGUUAUGUUAAACUAAUUCAUAAUGCAUACGCUACACGUUAUUUUAUGGUAAAGGUUUUGUGUUCGGUUAUUUUUAGUGUUCUUACCAUUUUGUAUUUAUUAUACAUAGAGUCUCUUCAGGUGUAUUUGCAGAAGAAGCAUUUUGGUUAGUCCUCGUCAGCAAAUAAGAAUGCUGGAAACAGUAUAAUCUUAGUAUAUUCGAUUCAGCCAAGAGUCUCCAACUCAGAUAUAUUCGUUGUAGUGGCACAACAUAGCAUUGCUCUCAUAUCUCAAUAUGCCGACAAGUUAUGACCUCAAUUUUCUGUAAUAAACGCCAAUAUAUCAUGCGGUUCUUUGGAUGAUAGGUGCUCAGUUCAAGGGUAUGAACCAAACUUUGAGUGCCAGUGCCGGUUUUAGCACCAUAACCGCUGCCGAUACAAAAGCAUACUUAGCCGAGCAUACAAAUAGUUUUAAAAUGUUCGACAUGUUACAUAUUUGAAAUGUACGAAUAUGUCGAAGAAAGUGCGAAAAUAAAUCAACUGAGAAUAUGAUAUCUUAAUACUUUUGUAUGUUUGUGUAUUCAUACAUCAUUCAAUCUUCGGCAUUUGGUAUCAUCUGUCGUUGCCAGGGUGGCUAAGUGAAUAAGUGAUGUGUGGGAACUUUCUAAACUCUCCCCGGGUUUACAGGUGCCUCAUUUUGAAAACCCACAUGCGUGUCAAUUGCUGCAAAUUGAAAAGUAGCGUAAUGUGUUGGGAAACUUAAUUUCUGCAGGUGAUUUCAUGAACAUUUUCAUUAAUAUGUAAGCUAAGCAAAAGACCGUUUGUAUACGUGGUCUUUAAAUAUGUUUUGCCUUCAUUUGAAAAAAAAUUUCAAUAAGACAGUAGAUUCUAAAGAAGAAUGGAGGUAGGUGUAAACGCAGAGAAAUCAAUAAAAAUAAUGAAAUUGUUAUAAAAAACUAUUGCUACCCAAACACACACGCACAAAUCGCAUACAAUGGCUUGAAAGAAGAGGCUCCGCCAUGCUGUCGCUUAGUGUGCCAAAAAGUACGUAAAUAUCACGACAAUAACGUGAAUAACGAGACAAAUAAAUUUUAGUAUGUCAAAAUAUUGACACUACAUUUUUAUGGGAGUCUACAAGAAUUGGCGCCGACACCGUUGCAGCAGGUACUAGUAACUAGAAUUUUUGCAAAUAAACUUCGCACAGUUUGCUGGAUUUAGUGUAUAUGAUGGUGUGAUUUGGUGUUGCAGCUAUUUUUAGCAAGCUUCAGCCAACUCCUCUAAGCUGUAUAUUGCCUAACAAUGCGUUGUGACGUCGCAAAUUUCACUUUAAUCCAACACGUUUAGUUCGCUCGCUAAAUUUGGCAUCACCUACCUGAACUCAUGCCAAUUCAAGCCUCGCGCAAGCCGCAUAAUCCUUAACAGCGUCAUCUGCUUCACAUCCAUUCCUCCAACAAAUGCAUUGAAUACACACCUGCCAAGCAUGGCUGAUAAAAGUUCGAAUGCAAUUUUCGCAUGUCAAAUUUAUUUCGCAUUCCUUUGUUUCAUACAUACACCUUUGGGAACGUAUUCUCACUUGGCCCAAAUACGCACAUACUUCACGUAUACUUUCGUUUCUUAACUGCGUGCACCGUAUGGCACUGUGCCGAUUUGUUUUGAGUAACAAAUCACAUUGAUAUUUCAAGUACGCGUUCCUUCCACUUUUAUUUUGUUAUGAGCUUCAUUUACUUUCGUGCAUGGAGUACGCUAUAUAGGCGACGCUGUGUAUUUAGGAGGCGCAUACUCAGCUUUUGGUGAAAUUGCCACUAAGUGUGGCAUAAUGGCAAAUGCCUAUUUAAAUUUUGGAAGUUGUAACUUAUCACGUAACUUUAUUUAGACUAUACUCUAUAUCUGCGAUGGUACCGAGUGGAAGUGCCUGAAUUGGUAAUUUGUGUUUUGAAUAUGUUAAUAUGCCCACAUAUGUUUUCAAAUUAUAAAACAGGAUAGUUAAACAAAUGCGUAGGUUUAUCAAGAAUUUAUGUUGUAACAUUAAAACAUAAUUUAAAUUAUCUCAGAGAAAAUGCAGUGCCAACUCAGAAGGAGCAAAGAAAUCCAGAAAGCAUAAAGUUAUUUUGAGGCCUAAUAAUAAUUUAGAAAAGUGUAAUGCUUUUCAGUAUAAUCGAUUCUAAUUGAUGGUCCUAAUUUUUAUACGUCGACGUAUGCUCUUUUCCCUGGUCUGAAGUCUUUCGAAAAUAAAUCAGGAAAUAAACAAAAACGUGUCUACCAUACAUUUAAAUUAACUCAAUUUCACUGAAAAAUUGAUUUAGAAAUGUUUACUUUAAAUUUUGAAAUUAUAAAAAGCCGGAUUACAUUUUGGUUUCAUUUUUAUUCGAUGAAAGCAUGUUUCUAUGUUGUAACCAGUGGAGUUAACUUAAAAGGGUAUAAUAUACCCAUAACUUGAUAUAAUUCGUUCACCAAAAGACCAUCUCAAAGAAAUACUGAUUGUAAUUGAUUUUACCUAACACAAAAUCAAUUAUUUCAAAUGCAAUGCAGGUUACUAAUACGCCACAUGCGACGUGAACACAAUAGCUUACAAUAGUCAAAUAAAUGUCUCAGAAGAGACUUAUGCAAAGUCAAUUGGCAGUGAAUAAAAAAGGGAAAAGCUCUAAAGAGUCACAGUGAGGCGCGCAAUACAACCUUGAAUUUGCAGGGAAAGAAAGAAAACACUUGAAAACCAACACUUAACUGAAAGUUGAAGGUUUCUUACUUACUAGUAGGAGUCGAGGAAUAUACUCGUGCAUAUGUAUACGUAUAUAAAUAAAGUUUGUAUACAUGAAGGCGCUUGUGAUUUGUUUUCGCGUGCUACGAGGUACACGCAAGAGUCUAGCUGUCAGCAAGUGCUAUAUGUGACACGAAAUUUUAAGCUAUACUAAAUUUGCGUGAAUAGAUUUUACACAUAUACAAAGCAUACAUGCAAACAUGCAUAUAUAUAAACAAUUUUCCUUUCAGUUACUCUUACGUGAAUAAACGAUUUAUGAAAGUACAUAAUAUUAUAUAUUUGAGUAUAUGUUUGUUUAUACUUGUUCAUAAGUACUUUUGGUAACUUCUCAAAUACAUCUUUUACAAUAUCACCCACAUAGUAAUGUCUAUAUGUUCUUACUCUUCUUUGACAAACGACAUAAAUCAAUUUGUUGGCUUCUAAUCUCCACUUCUUUUUACCGUUUGCCAUUUUUUACGCAAAUUACGAAUUCUCUUCGCGCAUUCUCAAUUUCCUUAGACGCCAUCAAUAACAUUGCCGCCUUACUGCCUUUCGAAGGCCUAUAAGACAAGCGCCGAAAUCCCCAUAAUGAGGUAGGAAAUUUAUUUAUUUCCUUCCAGGUUGUCAUUCCGCUCUCCUCUCUCUUACCGCAAAGCUGAGUAUCAAUUGAAUUUAUGCGAUUUUAUGUCUGUGUUUUGGUGUUUACAAGUUCUAGUUAAUCUCAUGGAUAUGCCGUUGAAGCAUAAAGAGCCACUGAGUGUCUAAUUUGGUAAUUAUUGCCUGUAGGCAUAUGGGUUUGCAUGUAAUUAUUUUUGUUAUUGUAAAAUGUUACUCUAGGCUAUGUUAAUUGGUAAAAGACGUUCAGCUGUGAUAUUCGAUUUGUCAGCUUAGCUAUGUAUUGCUCAUUAGGGUGUUUCAGACCAACUAAUCGGAGUUGAAGUUUAGUACGUAAUUUUUAGCAAUAAUGUUUUAUGCUUCACUAUGUUUAAUGUAUAUAUAUUGAACUAAGUUUUUAUAUACAAUAUUUUGACUAGACAACACGUAAGCUGAAUUAUGUUAUGCAGACCUGAUUUCCACAACCGCUAUCUGACUUUGCUUAAGAUGCAUGCAAGUAAGCUACAAUUGAAUUAGUUAAUCCAACUAUACCUUUGAGUCACACGCUUGUCAAUAAAAAUUUAAAUGGCGGCAAAUCUGAAAUUCCGUCGCGUAGCAUUUAUCCAGUCCUUAUAUUUUAUUUUUGAAGACCCAGUAAUAAUUUUUUCAAUAUUUUUUAUAUCUUUGUUUAAUUUUUAUACAAUUUAACGGCUGGAGUAUACCUGUAACUGAGCCUAGAUUUGCCUAUAAACAUUUCUAAGCUAACUCAAUAGUGUCGCAAUCGUGCGCGUGCUGUUUCCCUAAUGCUUCGCUGUCUAAGGUGUGCUUGCAACGCACAUUACUGAAGCGGCACACCACUUGGCAAGUCUCAAAGGUGUAAAGGAUGCAACUGCAUAUAGUUACAUACAUACAGUCAACAUUUUCAUAUAAGCGCUUUCACAUUGUUUCGGCUGUGCUUCUGCUCGGUGUGUUACGUUUGGCUGCGCUUCUUCUCUUCGAAGUUUGGUGACACAAACGUUACGUUACUUUCCUUCUUCACUUCGCUUUCACUAUUGCAGCGCAGCUACUUAAACAUUUACAUUUUACAACAACAUUGUAUGCCGCCUGUGGCAAUCCCCGUGUUUUUAAGUCUGCUACUUUGCGCCAUUACCGCUCACGUUUAUCACUGCGCACUCGUUCUACUCAUCAGCAAUGCCAUCACUUUCGCUUUGUCUAUCGUUGUAGUAUGUGUCUUCAUGUCUUUCAUUGUUCUAUCGGUUUUACACUUUCAUUGGUAGAAAUUAUUGCAGGUGGGCUUAUCAUGCCACCCAUUAUACAUACCUUUAAUGUUUCCUCCCAGAUUACACAUUUCAUAAAUUUCGUUUAUUUUAUUUUAUGCUUUUUCGCCGAUGAACUGUUAUUUUCUGUAUUUAUCAUUCACUCUCUCUCUCUUUUUCAUGUUUCGCCCGGGCUAUAAGAUGUCUUAACCGAUGUGUCGAAAUCGUGUCACUGGCGUAGAAGUCGAGGUCUCUCUGUGCGGUCCGCAACGACCGAAACCAUCAGUGUUACUCUGCAACACGCAAACGUGCUCACGCAAGUGGAUCACUGACGACUGUAGUUCAUGCAGCCGACUCUGUGAACCUGGCUACCGUGAGCGCAUGGUGGUUUGUGCGGAGGAGAAUAAUGGCAUCAAGACAAUGAUACUCGAUGUGUCGUGUCGGGCGCCAAACCCAGCCACACAGGAGCCCUGCAUGAUUGAGAAGUGCUCAACGUGGGAGGUGGAAGAGUUGACUGAAUGCCCUGCGGCUUACAAGCCCAUUCAACAUAUACAUAUGUAUGCAUGCUUGACUUUGGGCUCACACCUAGUUCUCGUUAACCUGUGGCCAGGGCUUGUAGAUGCGUGGAGUUGAAUGUAAAUCGGCGCCAAAUGUGACCCACUUACGAAGUCCGCAUCGGUGCAGCAAUGCUCGCCGAUGGUCUCAUGUGACGCUGGCGGUGGUACAAUUAUACUUGGCAGCAGCGCAUCCCUCGCAUCGUCGGAUGAUGGUAAUCCCAGUGAAGAAGAUGACGAUGAUUCAACGGAUGUUGAUAAUGUUGAGGAGUUAGCUGCUGAUCAUGAUGAUGUUAUAUGCAUCAUGAGGAACCCCAGCAGCCAAGUGCUGAGCGUCUUACCUACCUGUCAGAGAUCCAAGAGUCGCUCAAUAGCUUGCUUGCGUUUGCGCCAUUACACGCCCAUACACAAUGCACUGGAGUCGCACGUAGAAGCGGACAUCGAGGCGGUCGGCAAUGCGUACUGUGGGGAUUAUGGACUAAGCGCUCCUGACACAUUCGAUAUGUGCGGAGAGGAGUAAUGUACCCGCUGCUAGGCUGAUGAGUGGACUUUGUGUCAGCGUUCACGUUGUUUUGGACUCAACACGGCCAUCCUGAAGCGUGAGGGGAAAUGUCACUUUGCGUAUGAAACUGAUGCGACAGAAAUCACACUAUGAAAGUGUGCGGAAUCCGCCAGGUUUGGCAAAAAAUUUUGAACAAUGCCAGGACGCUUCAAGCUAUUGCCGCAAGGUACGCUUGGUGGGUUUGUGCAGAUUACACCGUUACCAAAAGAAAUGCAUAUUACAAUAACCAACACUAACAGCCAUGGCAAGGCAAAGCAAAAGUGUAAAAGUCAAGGCUAUGAGGCUUAAGCAAAGCUAAAGCACGAAUACAAUAACACAAACAAGCUACAUAUUCUACAGAAGCUCUCAAAAAACAUAAACGAAGGCAAAUAAAUGUGAGUAUUCAACCGAUUACCAGCCAUUAAUGCAAAAUUGAGGCAAAGUGAAAGUAAUAAAAAUAGUUAUAAUAAUAAUAACGGUAAAAUAAGAGCUCUAUGCAAAUUCAUGAAGCGUAAAAUGUUACUAAAAUCGCAACGAAACACACACAUAAACAUACGUACUGUGAAAGCGAAAACCGUGCAAUUGAAGCGCAUGAUUUGGUGGCAAGCAAAUUACUACUUAAUAAUCUAUUAUUCAUAAAAAAAAUAUUUGAAUGCAUUGAAUGAGCGCAACCAAAUGAAUUGAAUGAAGGAAAAUAAAUAAAAGUAACAAAUGCAAAUGCAAAUAAAAACUAACUGUAGACUGCUUUAUACAAAACUAUUUACAUACAUAUUGUAAGUUCCUACACACACACGAAAUAGUAGCCAUAACGUGAAAACAACAACAACGCUUCAAUUCAACGCAGCAAAAGAAGUAAAUAAAUAAUUAAGAUCGUAGUGAGAAGAGAGAUUGUGUGUGGCAGACGCUGAUUGAGGCAACAAAAGAACACACACACAGACGCAUUAAUAUAUUGCAAAUAUAAUGUAAAUAUAAAUAUAGAAACUUUGCUACAAAUGCGAUUAUAACGCCGGCAGCCUCAUAUAAAAUUCAGCAAGAAUCGAGCAGGAGCAAAACGCCAAAGACGAGAGUGUUCGCUCAUCGUUAUGGAUUAUUUGCCUAUUCCACCGAAAAGACGCAUAUUCACUGAACGGAGUUGUUACAGUUGUAUUAUAUCAAGUCGCUCUCUUUUAGUAAAGUGACACUCAGAAUACGGUAAUAUUAGUUAUACUCAGUGUCAUCACCUUAAGGCUCCGACACAUUAACAGAUGUCGAUUUCGCCAGAAACAAUUUUGACAUCAGCUCUUCGGUGGCAAGAAUGAAUCAGCCCGUGAUCGAUAGGCCUACAUAAAUCAACAACAAAUUGUUUACAAAUCGACUUUAUAGAAACAUUCGAACUCACAACAGUCAUUGAAAUGCGCAUGCUCCUAUAACAUUAUAAACAUAAGCUACCACCGCUGCAGUUUACUAAAUACUGUAUGCGCUCUAAACAGUACAACUGUUGGCGAAUAUGGAAACUGGCGCAGCCUCUGAAAAAAUCUAAAGUCUGAAAAUAGUAGCUAAUAAAUAAAACCUAAAGCCUAGGUUAUUUAAACUAAUAAAUAAAUUUACAAAUUAAUUAUACGAUUUGUUACUAUUUACCAGACUGAUAAUUUUAAGCAAUAUAUUGUUUGAUAAUAAGAAGAAAAUGUAAGCAUUGAUACAGUUUAUAAUAUAUUUUCAUUAC